This 735-nucleotide ribosomal RNA is filed under the name Paradiplozoon opsariichthydis. RNAcentral describes it as "12S ribosomal RNA". Lineage: Eukaryota; Metazoa; Platyhelminthes; Monogenea; Mazocraeidea; Diplozoidae. The record is from RNAcentral.
UCCAUUUUGCUUUGGUGGUUAAGAGUUUGCGGAUGUGAUACUUUCAUAGUUAUUUUUUUUGGAUUACGCUAUUGCUGUUUUGCUUAGUUACUAGAAAGGAAUUCUUUGACAAUCAUUUUGUAUGUAUCUGGUCACAUUUUGCUUUGGGGAGGUUAAGGCUCAGUGCCAGCAAUCGCGGUUAUACUGAUUAUCUCUUUGUUCUUUUUUUUUGCAUUAAGUUGCUGCUAAAUUAUCUGGCUUUCUCGUUACAAUGGUUGAAGAGGUUUUAUUUAUUUUUGGCACUUUAAUAGUUUUUUUUUAUGACAGGGAUUAGAGACCCCUUUAUUAGAACUUUAAUUUUUUUUUGCGUCAGUUUCUUAACUGAAAAAGCUUGUCGGCUAAUUAUAUUUGUUUGGGGGAGUGUGUGACUUAAAAAGAUGAUCCACUAAUUAUUUUGCCAUUACUAGUUUUGUUAGUGUACAUCCGGUUUAAAGCUUUGAACUUAAAGUUUCAGGCGUAUUUUAUCUAAAAUUUAAGCUAGGUCAAUGUGCUGCUAAUGAAAUGGGUGUCAUUCUCUACGUUUAGUUAAAGUGACUUUUGUAAUCAAGGCUAAUUUGGGACUCAAUAGUAAUUUAUUGGUGAGAGAGGUUAAGUGAAUAUGAAAUGAUUAGCGUACACAUCGCCCGUCACCUUCGAUUUUUAAUUGAAGUAAGUCGUAACAUGGUAAUUCUAGGGGAACCUGGAGUUAGAGUUGAU